Molecule: non-coding RNA, 73 nt
Organism: Phrynosoma platyrhinos (Desert horned lizard)
Lineage: Eukaryota; Metazoa; Chordata; Lepidosauria; Squamata; Phrynosomatidae
Source: the annotation of a GenBank genome assembly
GUAUAAUUUGGUGCAGUGGUUUGCACCUUGGACUAUGACUCUGGAGACCAGGGUUCGAAUCCCGGCUCGGCCA